RNAcentral lists this transfer RNA (70 nucleotides) under Amphioctopus fangsiao. RNAcentral describes it as "tRNA-Met". The record is from RNAcentral. Lineage: Eukaryota; Metazoa; Mollusca; Cephalopoda; Octopoda; Octopodidae.
AAUAAAGUAAGCUAAAUUAAGCUGUUGGGUUCAUACCUCAAAAAUAGAUUUUGAAUUUCUCUUUAUUAUA